UGUUUACUUAAGAUCCAAUUAGAUGAAUGUUGUUUAUUUUUCCAUAUAGUUUCUAUUUAGAAAGGCCUCAUAUGCAAGUUGGGGACAUGCCGUGAACAUAUGGUUUUGUGAUCUAUGGUCUUGAGUCAUAUGUUGGAUGGGUGAUAAUGGAAAUUUUCUUGAGGAUAAACCCGUGCAUAAGUUUUGUGAGAGUUAAACCUGUUUUAUGAGAGGUAAAGCUGUUUUUUGAGAGUUAAACCCGUGCAUAUGAAUGUAUUUUGUUUAGAACUGGUCAAACUAUUUUUUGUGAGAGUUAAAGUUGUUUUCUGGAGGACAAACCCGUGAAUAAGUUUCUCAUCUGUAUAGAUUAAUUAAUAGGAUGGCAAUUUAAGUUUAUUGGAGCUCUUUUUAAGAAGUGGGGGUCUGCUUUGGUUUCUUGCUGUUUGCAUAUUCUCUUAAAAACACUUGACUGACUGUAGCUGACUGUUUAUACAUCAAUAAUAUGGGCAGUUGAAUAUGGCGUUUUCAAGUGAAGGAUUUCAAAAAUCUAAUAUGGCAUGCCUAUUUUACAUGGAAAAACAAAUGGUACCUUAUUUACUAUUUAGUUUUUAAGCAAGACUAAUUUGACUACACGCGUCCUGAGGUGCCUUCUGUUUUGGAAUAGUCAUAGAAUGCUCCUUAUUACGAGAUGUUCCUUUGUCACUAUUUGAAGUUCUGCCUUGGGUGGCCUUUGUCUUAGUUUAUAGCUUCAUAUGGCUACCUAUGUAUAACAUAUGUAUGUUCUGUUUGAACCGUCUCAAAUCACAUAGAGAUGUUAAAUUUUCAAUUUGUUGCCUCGCGGUCGUGUGCCAUCACCAUGUUUACUCCAGAAAAGUGGAAUGUGCAGAGUUUCAGUGUUGAUUAGUCAAAUAUUUGCUUUGCCUUAAAGACUGUCCCCAUCUAUGUUCCAGGUUGUGGCAACACUGCAGAUAUGCCCAUUGCCAUCGAGCAUUUCUAUUUAUAUGCUUCUACAGAGUAUUUGGUUUUUGUACUGUACACUUGAUGAAAUAAUUUCCUUAUAAGCUGGGACAAGGCAUUUGUAGUUGAUAUUUGUACUAUAAGCUCAAUUUUUUUGGUUCAUCUCAUCUCUGGUUAUUUUUUCGUUUUUUGUGUUUCUGCAGCAUAUUAUCAUUAGCAUAUAAAACCUCUUAUAUUUCUUGUUUUCGACAAUUAUUCUUUGGCAGGGAAGACUAUGAUAACACUAAGAUUAUCAGGAAAGGAUUCAGGGAUUUUUUUGAAUCCAGAUUAUCACACAUGAUGCAAAAUUAACAACCACGACUUUGAAAUAUGGAUGAUGAUGCUUAUUAUGUGCUAGAAAUCAAAUAUGUAAAGGAGAAGAUAAUGUUUGUGAAGGUGUGUAUACUGAACAAGCAUCCUGAUUGAUUUGUUUUUCUGUUGUUUCUUGAUGUGCCCUCAUGCAGCUGUGUCCAUAUAUACUGAUUGUUAUACUUAUUGCUGUGUGAGUUGCAGGAGAGGGGAGAGAGAUACGGGUUGAUUCUGGGUAAACUUUGCUUAAUUUGUUGGAGAAAAUGCUUGAUAGAUCUCAUGGAUGGAUAAGGUUGUGGCAGUAGUUCUCGGGUGCAAUAUCUAUCUUGAUAGAGUGAUCAACCAGGGCACAUUAGAAGCAGAAGAAGAGGAAAUGUUUGGGCCGUCUAUGGCGUUGAAGAUUCAGUGUUUCUGUCUUGUGUACAUGCACGGCCAGUUCAGUAACUAGAUGGCCUUUUCUACUGUACUGGUGCUGCUACUUUUCACAUGCUAGCUUCUUUGGAAAGCGCCAACAGUGUGUACAACAUGUAAAGAGUCCAUCUUGAAGGAACGGAAGCAGAAGUAUGGAGCUGAUGUAUUAAUGGUCAAUCAAGGAAUUCAGUCUCGAUGAGCUUAACUAAUGAUGUGUGAGUUGAGCCUUAGGUCAUUUUCAAAGUAACGGAAGUACAAGAGAUUACUUGAAAAUACACAUUUUUUUAAUGCGACAUGGUCUUAAGUGCGAUUUUAUACCACCAAAUUAAAAUGUGGUAUAUCUCAUUGUAGACAACAAGCCUACAUUUUUAUUUUAUUUUAUUAAAGGGGUUAAACUUGUUAUCGUAUGUGUUUGCCCACAACUAAAUCAAAACAUGAUUUUUUUUCAAUGUGAACAUGGAUUCAAUGGGUCUAUGCACCAUUUGACGCUGGUCCUUGCAAAAUGAAACUAUUUUCAUCGACAACAUAGCGGGUCUCUGCGUCAUUUGGCACAACUGGUCAACUAGUAUUAGUAGAUGUCAAGAAAUGCCUAUGAACUAUUAUCUUGUUAUUG
RNAcentral lists this long non-coding RNA (2308 nucleotides) under Triticum aestivum (bread wheat). RNAcentral describes it as "long non-coding RNA (TAES_LNC011824)". Lineage: Eukaryota; Viridiplantae; Streptophyta; Magnoliopsida; Poales; Poaceae. The record is from RNAcentral.